UUAAGCGACUAAGCGUACACGGUGGAUGCCCUGGCAGUCAGAGGCGAUGAAGGACGUGCUAAUCUGCGAUAAGCGUCGGUGAGGUGAUAUGAACCGUUAUAACCGGCGAUUUCCGAAUGGGGAAACCCAGUGUGUUUCGACACACUAUCAUUAACUGAAUCCAUAGGUUAAUGAGGCGAACCGGGGGAACUGAAACAUCUAAGUACCCCGAGGAAAAGAAAUCAACCGAGAUUCCCCCAGUAGCGGCGAGCGAACGGGGAGGAGCCCAGAGCCUGAAUCAGUGUGUGUGUUAGUGGAAGCGUCUGGAAAGGCGUGCGAUACAGGGUGACAGCCCCGUACACAAAAAUGCACAUAUUGUGAGCUCGAUGAGUAGGGCGGGACACGUGGUAUCCUGUCUGAAUAUGGGGGGACCAUCCUCCAAGGCUAAAUACUCCUGACUGACCGAUAGUGAACCAGUACCGUGAGGGAAAGGCGAAAAGAACCCCGGCGAGGGGAGUGAAAAAGAACCUGAAACCGUGUACGUACAAGCAGUGGGAGCCUCUUAAUGGGGUGACUGCGUACCUUUUGUAUAAUGGGUCAGCGACUUAUAUUCUGUAGCAAGGUUAACCGAAUAGGGGAGCCGAAGGGAAACCGAGUCUUAACUGGGCGUUAAGUUGCAGGGUAUAGACCCGAAACCCGGUGAUCUAGCCAUGGGCAGGUUGAAGGUUGGGUAACACUAACUGGAGGACCGAACCGACUAAUGUUGAAAAAUUAGCGGAUGACUUGUGGCUGGGGGUGAAAGGCCAAUCAAACCGGGAGAUAGCUGGUUCUCCCCGAAAGCUAUUUAGGUAGCGCCUCGUGAAUUCAUCUCCGGGGGUAGAGCACUGUUUCGGCAAGGGGGUCAUCCCGACUUACCAACCCGAUGCAAACUGCGAAUACCGGAGAAUGUUAUCACGGGAGACACACGGCGGGUGCUAACGUCCGUCGUGAAGAGGGAAACAACCCAGACCGCCAGCUAAGGUCCCAAAGUCAUGGUUAAGUGGGAAACGAUGUGGGAAGGCCCAGACAGCCAGGAUGUUGGCUUAGAAGCAGCCAUCAUUUAAAGAAAGCGUAAUAGCUCACUGGUCGAGUCGGCCUGCGCGGAAGAUGUAACGGGGCUAAACCAUGCACCGAAGCUGCGGCAGCGACACUAUGUGUUGUUGGGUAGGGGAGCGUUCUGUAAGCCUGUGAAGGUGGCCUGUGAGGGUUGCUGGAGGUAUCAGAAGUGCGAAUGCUGACAUAAGUAACGAUAAAGCGGGUGAAAAGCCCGCUCGCCGGAAGACCAAGGGUUCCUGUCCAACGUUAAUCGGGGCAGGGUGAGUCGACCCCUAAGGCGAGGCCGAAAGGCGUAGUCGAUGGGAAACAGGUUAAUAUUCCUGUACUUGGUGUUACUGCGAAGGGGGGACGGAGAAGGCUAUGUUGGCCGGGCGACGGUUGUCCCGGUUUAAGCGUGUAGGCUGGUUUUCCAGGCAAAUCCGGAAAACCAAGGCUGAGGCGUGAUGACGAGGCACUACGGUGCUGAAGUGACAAAUGCCCUGCUUCCAGGAAAAGCCUCUAAGCAUCAGGUAACAUCAAAUCGUACCCCAAACCGACACAGGUGGUCAGGUAGAGAAUACCAAGGCGCUUGAGAGAACUCGGGUGAAGGAACUAGGCAAAAUGGUGCCGUAACUUCGGGAGAAGGCACGCUGAUAUGUAGGUGAAGCGACUUGCUCGUGGAGCUGAAAUCAGUCGAAGAUACCAGCUGGCUGCAACUGUUUAUUAAAAACACAGCACUGUGCAAACACGAAAGUGGACGUAUACGGUGUGACGCCUGCCCGGUGCCGGAAGGUUAAUUGAUGGGGUUAGCGGUAACGCGAAGCUCUUGAUCGAAGCCCCGGUAAACGGCGGCCGUAACUAUAACGGUCCUAAGGUAGCGAAAUUCCUUGUCGGGUAAGUUCCGACCUGCACGAAUGGCGUAAUGAUGGCCAGGCUGUCUCCACCCGAGACUCAGUGAAAUUGAACUCGCUGUGAAGAUGCAGUGUACCCGCGGCAAGACGGAAAGACCCCGUGAACCUUUACUAUAGCUUGACACUGAACAUUGAGCCUUGAUGUGUAGGAUAGGUGGGAGGCUUUGAAGUGUGGACGCCAGUCUGCAUGGAGCCGACCUUGAAAUACCACCCUUUAAUGUUUGAUGUUCUAACGUUGGCCCGUAAUCCGGGUUGCGGACAGUGUCUGGUGGGUAGUUUGACUGGGGCGGUCUCCUCCUAAAGAGUAACGGAGGAGCACGAAGGUUGGCUAAUCCUGGUCGGACAUCAGGAGGUUAGUGCAAUGGCAUAAGCCAGCUUGACUGCGAGCGUGACGGCGCGAGCAGGUGCGAAAGCAGGUCAUAGUGAUCCGGUGGUUCUGAA
RNAcentral lists this ribosomal RNA (2405 nucleotides) under Escherichia coli KTE39. RNAcentral describes it as "bacterial LSU rRNA". It matches the Rfam family "Bacterial large subunit ribosomal RNA", at positions 1 to 2433 of the family's 2925-position model. The record is from RNAcentral. Lineage: Bacteria; Pseudomonadati; Pseudomonadota; Gammaproteobacteria; Enterobacterales; Enterobacteriaceae.